This 79-nucleotide transfer RNA is filed under the name bacterium. RNAcentral's name for it is "tRNA-Asp". It matches the Rfam family "tRNA". From Rfam's summary of the family: Transfer RNA (tRNA) molecules are approximately 80 nucleotides in length. Their secondary structure includes four short double-helical elements and three loops (D, anti-codon, and T loops). Further hydrogen bonds mediate the characteristic L-shaped molecular structure. tRNAs have two regions of fundamental functional importance: the anti-codon, which is responsible for specific mRNA codon recognition, and the 3' end, to which the tRNAs corresponding amino acid is attached (by aminoacyl-tRNA synthetases). tRNAs cope with the degeneracy of the genetic code in two manners: having more than one tRNA (with a specific anti-codon) for a particular amino acid; and 'wobble' base-pairing, i.e. permitting non-standard base-pairing at the 3rd anti-codon position. The record is from RNAcentral.
GGGCCGGUCGUCUAGCCUGGUUUAAGACGCCUCCUUGUCAAGGAGGAGACCACGGGUUCAAAUCCCGUCCGGCCCGCCA